Alligator sinensis (Chinese alligator) is the source of this 200-nucleotide long non-coding RNA. RefSeq lists it as uncharacterized. The transcript is spliced from 3 exons. NCBI's taxonomy places the organism in Eukaryota, Metazoa, Chordata, Crocodylia, Alligatoridae. The record is from RefSeq and is a predicted model, not a curated record.
AGCAGCCAAGGCAGAAAGAGCUCUCUGAGCAAGGAUGCAAGAACUGCAGUAUCUCGGGUGAAGAAGUCUUCCUGCAUUUCCACUGUUGCUGUUGAAGACCUUUCCCGUGCUGCCCAUCAACCCUUGAAGAACCAGUAAAUCAGCAUGUUUCCUCGCUUGGACAGAUGAACAAAUGGCAGCCUGUAUCUCAAAAUGACCAC